Daphnia pulicaria is the source of this 1916-nucleotide long non-coding RNA. RefSeq lists it as uncharacterized. The transcript has 11 exons. The record is from RefSeq and is a predicted model, not a curated record. NCBI's taxonomy places the organism in Eukaryota, Metazoa, Arthropoda, Branchiopoda, Diplostraca, Daphniidae.
CCGAAGCUUCUUUUGGAUCUGCCGUCCACCGGAUGCGACUGACGACAGACGCAAUCAAAGUGAAACCGAUAUCCUGAAAACGUGAAUUUACCUGGUGGGAGGCGAUUAUGGUCGAGUUCAAUGACUGCACCAUUGGAUAUCCAUCGCGAAGAUUAAACGACGGGCAGCCGGGCUCAGCACGGCAAUCUAUUUCGAGUCGUUUGCCAAGUGCCACUCCACGAGUUAACAGUGUCGCUUUGACUCCACCACCUGAGAACGUCAACAUUUAUUUCACGAAAGGUCAACCCCGUUUGAUGUUGCAUCCACAGGUGUCGAGGAUCGAACGUGUUUACGAGGAUGACCUUCAUUCAGUUUCCCACCUGACAUCUCUAAUUGGACCCCAUCAUCUAGUACCUCAUCUGAUUUAAGUCUCUGCAAAUGAUACCUGACAAUGCUCUGCGACAACAAAGCAGAAAUAACCAAGACAGCGAAAAUAUGCAUUUCCAUAUUCCCGGCUGUUUACGACGAUGUUCACAAUCUUGUCGUCAGCCAGCAGGACAUGUCGAGCCGCCAAAUCUCCGUGCAACAACUGGGCGAAAAUAAUUCUCAAGGAGAUCACCGAAGAAUUUUUAAGGUGGGAGUUGAUUCCUGGAUCAACACUUUGAUCCGGGCACUUCGCCGAAGAGUUGUUCACACCUCGUGUAAUAGUUCGCAAGGGAUAUCAAACGCAACGGUUUGAAGAGAAGGUAGUUAAGGUCUGGUCAGAGUGGAAGGAUUUUUUUGGAACAAGGUGGUUUUUUUUCUGACUCUUGAUGAAACCUCGCGCAGGUAAAACAGACCACAGCAAGUACCACUUAAACUCCAACCUUUUUCGCGCCAGUGAACGUAACUGAACGACAUCUAGGGUCCGACCAUUCAUUUAUUUUAACACGAUACUGAAAAUCCUUGCUCCUUGCCCUGCUCAAACGGUCGCGAAUCGAAGGGUGAGUCUUUAAUCAUUUGUGUUAUAACAUUUCCUUAUGACUUUCAACUAACUAUCGCAACUUUGACGUAAAAAAAAUUGACGGUGUGUCUUCUCUCGCCGCUCUGGAAAAUGUGAACUUUAUUUUCCUGAUCCUGAAUUCGUCCGUGAUAGUGUGCCUAUCAUCAUGUUGGAUCGAAGCUGGAAAACAUGCAACGUGGUGUUGCUUGCCGACUGGCUGACAUCGUUCGAAUCUCGACACUGGUAGAUGCCCGAAGCUUCUUUUGGCACUGCAGUCCACCGCAUGCGACUGACGACAGACGCAACGAAAGUGAAACCGAUAUCCUGAAAACGUUGAAAACAACGACUGCACCGUUGGAUAUCCAUCGCCAAGAGAAAACUACGGGCAGCCCGGCUCCCUCUCCCGGCUCAGCACGGCAAUCUUUUUGGAAUUGAUAGCCAAGUUCCACUCUACUAGUUAACUGUGUCGUUUGACCCCACCACCUGCGAAUGUCAACAUUUAUUUCACGCAAGUUAGUUCACCGAAAUCUUGGAAACGGAAGUCGGUGAGCCUAUCUGGCGGAUGCCUUGUGGAUCUCCACGUCGAAUGCGGAUUCAAGUCCAAAAAUUUCCCGAUUGACAGCGUCUUGAGGUUCAACCUGGUGGAGGAUCUCAUUCUCUGGAGACAAGGAUACAGUUCACACUUGGAAGAAACCUUAACGAACGUUUUGAAGCCGCAAGAUAUGAUUAAUAUCGACACCAUGAUCUCCGGCAUUUUGGUUUGUUUGUUUUCGAAAAGUUUCGCGAUCCUGGAACACUUUCGCAAUUUCGAAGAAACGUUUGAAAAAUCCGCCAUCAUUUCGACGAUUUUAAGAACUGUAGCGAGAAAGCACGGCCCCUAUUUGGACGUCAUUGCGUGUACGUCGCUCAUGAAAAACUGGUUUUAUCCUAAUAAAAGUUAGUUGUAAAACUGUUA